GAUGAACGCUGGCGGCGUGCCUAAUACAUGCAAGUCGAACGAAACUUCUUUAUCACCGAGUGCUUGCACUCACCGAUAAAGAGUUGAGUGGCGAACGGGUGAGUAACACGUGGGCAACCUGCCCAAAAGAGGGGGAUAACACUUGGAAACAGGUGCUAAUACCGCAUAACCAUAGUUACCGCAUGGUAACUAUGUAAAAGGUGGCUAUACUACCGCUUUUGGAUGGGCCCGCGGCGCAUUAGCUAGUUGGUAGGGUAAAGGCUUACCAAGGCAAUGAUGCGUAACCGAAUUGAGAGGUUGAUCGGCCACAUUGGGACUGAGACACGGCCCAAACUCCUACGGGAGGCAGCAGUAGGGAAUCUUCCACAAUGGGCGAAAGCCUGAUGGAGCAACGCCGCGUGGGUGAAGAAGGUCUUCGGAUCGUAAAACCCUGUUGUUAGAGAAGAAAGUGCGUGAGAGUAACUGUUCACGUUUCGACGGUAUCUAACCAGAAAACCACGGCUAACUACGU
Molecule: ribosomal RNA, 511 nt
Filed under: uncultured bacterium
Lineage: Bacteria
Description: partial 16S ribosomal RNA
Rfam family: Bacterial small subunit ribosomal RNA
Source: RNAcentral